RNAcentral lists this ribosomal RNA (253 nucleotides) under uncultured bacterium. RNAcentral's name for it is "partial 16S ribosomal RNA". It matches the Rfam family "Bacterial small subunit ribosomal RNA", at positions 524 to 776 of the family's 1533-position model. The record is from RNAcentral.
UACGUAGGGGGCUAGCGUUGUCCGGAUUUAUUGGGCGUAAAGAGCGUGUAGGCGGCCAUGUAGGUCUGCUGUGAAAACUCGAGGCUUAACCUCGAGAUGUCGGCGGAAACCAUCUGGCUAGAGUCCGGAAGAGGAGAGUGGAAUUCCUGGUGUAGCGGUGAAAUGCGCAGAUAUCAGGAAGAACACCAGUGGCGAAGGCGGCUCUCUGGGACGGUACUGACGCUGAGACGCGAAAGCGUGGGGAGCGAACAGG